This 681-nucleotide unclassified non-coding RNA is filed under the name Primulina bogneriana. RNAcentral describes it as "383FR intergenic spacer". Lineage: Eukaryota; Viridiplantae; Streptophyta; Magnoliopsida; Lamiales; Gesneriaceae. The record is from RNAcentral.
CUGAUAUGAAGAUGCGAUCCAGCCUAUUCCAUUGUUGAAAUGAAAAGAUCACGAAAGGAGGCCUUGCUUGAAUUUCGCUGCAGGGUGGAGGAUGCAAUACGUGGAAACUAUCUGUUUGGCCUGAAAAGGGGGAUUUUUCCCUCCCAAGAAGAUGCCAAGAAAGGAGAUUUGAAGGACAUUAAGCUGUGGGGUGUCCCUUUAUUGCCUAGUGAAAAUCACGAGGGGAUAAAUAUUAUUYUGAUGAAAUUCUUGAAAGCAAAGAAUUACAAGGUGCACGAGGCAUUUACUUUACUGCGCAGGACCCUGAAAUGGCGUGUAGAUUUUAACGCAGAUAAAAUUCUCGAAGAGAAUUUAAGGCCUGAGCCUGAUUAUUUGUGGUUCAGCAAUGGUAUGGAUAAAGAAGGCCGCCCUUUGUGUUACAAUGUGUUGGGCAAGAAAUCAAAGAAGAAAUUAUCGAGCAAUGGUGAGAGAUUCAAAGCUUUCUUGAGGUGGAGGGUUCAGUGCGUUGAAAGAGGGAUUCAAAAUCUCCAUUUUAGGCCUGGUGGGGAGGAUUCGAUUAUUCAGAUUAUUGAUUUAAAGAAUGCUCCUGGAACUGCAGUCAAGGAGGUCAUGCUGAUUUGCAAGAAAAUGAUGGCCCUGCUUCAUGAUCAUUAUCCUGGAAUGAUCUACAAAAAUGUAAGA